CUAAUACAUGCAAGUCGAACGAACCGCGACCGAGUGCUUGCACUUGGUCAAGGUGAGUGGCGAACGGGUGAGUAACACGUGGGUAACCUACCUCAUAGUGGGGGAUAACAGUCGGAAACGACUGCUAAUACCGCAUAGGACAUGGGAUCACAUGAUUCCGUGAGGAAAGGUGGCGCAAGCUAUCGCUAAGAGAUGGACCCGCGGUGCAUUAGCUAGUUGGUAGGGUAAGGGCCUACCAAGGCAAUGAUGCAUAGCCGACCUGAGAGGGUGAUCGGCCACAUUGGGACUGAGACACGGCCCAAACUCCUACGGGAGGCAGCAGUAGGGAAUCUUCCGCAAUGGACGCAAGUCUGACGGAGCAACGCCGCGUGAGUGAAGAAGGUCUUCGGAUCGUAAAGCUCUGUUGUUAGAGAAGAACAGCGCAUAGAGUAACUGUUAUGCGUGUG
RNAcentral lists this ribosomal RNA (446 nucleotides) under Abiotrophia defectiva. RNAcentral's name for it is "bacterial SSU rRNA". It matches the Rfam family "Bacterial small subunit ribosomal RNA", at positions 48 to 471 of the family's 1533-position model. Lineage: Bacteria; Bacillati; Bacillota; Bacilli; Lactobacillales; Aerococcaceae. The record is from RNAcentral.